Molecule: non-coding RNA, 2169 nt
Organism: Xyrichtys novacula (pearly razorfish)
Lineage: Eukaryota; Metazoa; Chordata; Actinopteri; Labriformes; Labridae
Source: the annotation of a GenBank genome assembly
AGAUGUUUGUAUGAAGCUGGGGCCAACACAGGAUAGGAGUCUCCCGCUGGUGGAGAGGAAAGGAAUGCCUGGCGAGUCAGCCCAGGACGAAGAUAAGGAUGAAGAAGCUGAAACCAGGCUGAUUAGACCCUCUCUGCUUCCUGCUCUCCAGACCAGGUAACACCAAAAGGACUUGUUGUUUCUGCGGGGCAGCCAGAAACUGUUCUUACAAUGGUCUGUCUUUACACACUUACAUCACAGCAAGGUCUGGGAUUGUCUUGAAAUAUGUGUGUGUGUCAAGCUACUCAAAACACACAUAUACAAAAACACAGUUUUUGACACACACACGCACACACACACACGUCAAAAUUUGGACUCAGACACACACACUGUACCAGAAGAAUGCUUGUAGGAACAGUAUACUUAGAUCAGAUUUUUGGCCUGUUUGUGUGAAAUCUCCAGCUGUACAGUAGCAUGUAAAAAACAGAGCAAGAGGAAAGAGAACCCAAGACAGGGAAAGAGGCCUGUGUGGGGAAAGAGACUGGCAGAGCCCUCAUCUAAAGUAAGCGAGCAGGUUUUACUACCAGCUGAGGAAUGUAGACAUGAAUCGGCUUUUAUUGUUUUACACAGAACAGCAACUAUCUCUUUCUCCGUCUUCAACCACAUUUAAACCCCCUUGCUCUCGUUUAUCCUUAUUUCUACUCCUUCCAAAGUCACACACUCUCUCUCUCUCUCUCUCUCUCUCUCUCUCACACACACACACACAAAUAAGCAUACAGUUAUAACACAAGUUCAUCAUAGUGGUCUGUUACACUGAUUGCCACCCUAGAGAUAAUUAAUUUUAAUUAAUUUUAAAAACUGAUUUAUUAGGAAUAUUGAAAAAUCAAAAGGUUUCAGCUUGUGCCGCUUCAGGUUACAAAUAAAUUGAACACUUCUACUUUCUAAUUCUUCUUUUGAAAGUUUUUAUUCAGUCCUGUAAUUUUGGAUCGAACAUACUGUACAUAGCGUACAACUGUUAUUUUUCUUUUUAGUCUCACAUCUGAAGCAUCUGUGAGUGUCCCCUUUAAUGUGAAGUCUAAAGUGAUAUAUAGAUGUACUGUAUAGAUAUGUAUCCUUGCAGUGCAUGCAUAUGACUGUGUGUUUGUGUGUAGGUAAGUAUGACGGAUUACUGUGUCUCUGCAGUAGCUGGUGAAGUGUGUUAGGGGUUGACCAAGGCCGUCUGCACACUCUCUCUCCCCAAACACUCAUACUAGCAUGUCAGCGAUGAUAAAGUUAAGCUACAGAGUGUAGAGUUCCCUCAGGUAUACUUAGCAAGGCAAACCUGCUGCACACACUUUAUCAUGAGACGAGGGAGGAGGGGUGUAAGACAAGGCGCUUAUAUGACACACACUACCCCUAUAUGCAACCAGCAUACCAUACAUUAUACUCCACUGUGGAGGCGAGUAUACCCACACAAUGUGAAGUUUAAAAUCAUAUCUGUCAGCUGGAGCUGUUGCUUAGUUUUGUUAGCAGAGAAAACAGUGACAUGAUAGGGGUUUAAUGUUAGUAUGGUAGCCUUAGCUUGUUAGUGUUAGCUGCAGUUAACUUACAUGUUACGCAAAUCUGUUCAGUUUUUGUAGAGCUAUUCCCAAGGAUAACGAAUGGAUGGAGAAACAUGAGCGCGAGACAGAUAGAGCAAAACCAGUACAACCAGCAUCUUUUUAGGGACAUUCUCUUUGGUGAAUGUUUAGUUACUCUUGAUGCUUCUGCUAAGGCAUCUGAACCAGGACCUUCAGGAGAGGUGCAAGUGUUGCUACCCCAGCCAACAGAUUACAUACUGGCUGGGGUGAGACUUGUGAAUGGGCGUCUUUCGAGAUUGCCCUCAGCAAUAUGAUGGCAAUGUAAACAUACAAUCUAGCUAGUCAGUGCAGCAUCUCCAUAUAUGAUAUUUUUGUAUCUGCCUGUUGCUGUUGUUGAACCAAAGAGAAUAGGUCUGACAGACUAACGCUGUACAAAAGAAUAAUGGUCUGCUGGCCUAGUAAACUGCACAUACUCAGGACCAGUUUCUGGUGCUUUUCCCCUGAAUCUAUUCAUACUAGGAGGCUGUGAUUGUUUCUCAUCAAACUCUGAACCUGGCCAGUGUUGUCACCAGGUCUCCAUGCCACAACUGUGACCUGACCUACUCUGCUGCUCCCUCUCCUCACCCCUGAG